This 488-nucleotide ribosomal RNA is filed under the name uncultured bacterium. RNAcentral's name for it is "partial 16S ribosomal RNA". It matches the Rfam family "Bacterial small subunit ribosomal RNA", at positions 28 to 507 of the family's 1533-position model. The record is from RNAcentral.
GACGAACGCUGGCGGCGUGCUUAACACAUGCAAGUCGAACGGAAGGGCCCUGAUUUUGUGGGGUUCUCGUUUGGCGAACGGGUGAGUAACACAUGAGUAACCUGCCCUUGACAUUGGGAUAAAUUCAGGGAACUGGGGCUCAUACCGGAUAUGAUCUCCUGCGUCAUGGGGGGGAUUGGAGAGUUACGGUGUUUGGGGAUAUAAUGGGGGUGUAUGAGCUUGAUUGUGGGGUAGUGGCUUACCAAGGCUAUGAAGGGUAGCCGACCUGUGCGAGUGAUCGGCCACACUGGAACUGGGACACGGUCCAUACUACUACGAGAGGCAGCAGUAGGGAAUCUUACGCAGUAGGCGAGAGCCUUACGGAGCGACGCCGCGUGAGUUAUGACGGUCUUGGGAUCGUAAAACUCUGUUAUCAGUGAAGAACAGAUUUGUAAGUAACCGUGGACAUCUUGACGGUACCUAAUCAGAAAGCCACGGCUAACUACGUG